UUUUGUGGGGUGCUCGAGUGGCGAACGGGUGAGUAACACGUGAGUAACCUGCCCUUGACUUUGGGAUAACUUCAGGAAACUGGGGCUAAUACCGGAUAGGAGCUCCUGCUGCAUGGUGGGGGUUGGAAAGUUUCGGCGGUUGGGGAUGGACUCGCGGCUUAUCAGCUUGUUGGCGGGGUAGUGGCUUACCAAGGCUUUGACGGGUAGCCGGCCUGAGAGGGUGACCGGCCACAUUGGGACUGAGAUACGGCCCAG
Molecule: ribosomal RNA, 255 nt
Filed under: uncultured Actinomycetales bacterium
Lineage: Bacteria; Bacillati; Actinomycetota; Actinomycetes; Actinomycetales
Description: partial 16S ribosomal RNA
Rfam family: Bacterial small subunit ribosomal RNA
Source: RNAcentral